Molecule: ribosomal RNA, 461 nt
Filed under: uncultured bacterium
Lineage: Bacteria
Description: bacterial SSU rRNA
Rfam family: Bacterial small subunit ribosomal RNA
Source: RNAcentral
UUACGGGAGGCAGCAGUGGGGAAUAUUGGACAAUGGGGGCAACCCUGAUCCAGCAAUGCCGCGUGUGUGAAGAAGGCCUGCGGGUUGUAAAGCACUUUCGGUGGGGAAGAACGUACUUGCAGUUAAUACCUGCGAGUGGUGACGGUACCCAAAGAAGAAGCACCGGCUAACUCUGUGCCAGCAGCCGCGGUAAUACAGAGGGUGCGAGCGUUAAUCGGAAUUACUGGGCGUAAAGCGCACGUAGGUGGUUUGGUAAGUCGGAUGUGAAAUCCCCGGGCUUAACCUGGGAAUGGCAUUCGAUACUGUCAAACUAGAGUCUGGUAGAGGGUGGUGGAAUUCCAGGUGUAGCGGUGAAAUGCGUAGAUAUCUGGAGGAACAUCAGUGGCGAAGGCGGCCACCUGGACUGAGACUGACACUGAGGUGCGAAAGCGUGGGUAGCAAACAGGAUUAGAUACCCUGGU